AAACCAACAGGGAUUGCCCUAGUAACGGCGAGUGAAGCGGCAACAGCUCAAAUUUGAAAUCUGGCUCUUUUAGAGUCCGAGUUGUAAUUUGCAGAGGGCGCUUUGGCUUUGGCAGCGGUCCAAGUUCCUUGGAACAGGACGUCACAGAGGGUGAGAAUCCCGUACGUGGUCGCUGGCUAUUGCCGUGUAAAGCCCCUUCGACGAGUCGAGUUGUUUGGGAAUGCAGCUCUAAAUGGGAGGUACAUUUCUUCUAAAGCUAAAUAUUGGCCAGAGACCGAUAGCGCACAAGUAGAGUGAUCGAAAGAUGAAAAGCACUUUGGAAAGAGAGUCAAACAGCACGUGAAAUUGUUGAAAGGGAAGCGCUUGCAGCCAGACUUGCUUGCAGUUGCUCAUCCGGGCUUUUGCCCGGUGCACUCUUCUGCAGGCAGGCCAGCAUCAGUUUGGGCGGUAGGAUAAAGGUCUCUGUCACGUACCUCUCUUCGGGGAGGCCUUAUAGGGGAGACGACAUACUACCAGCCUAGACUGAGGUCCGCGCAUCUGCUAGGAUGCUGGCGUAAUGGCUGUAAGCGGC
RNAcentral lists this ribosomal RNA (571 nucleotides) under Lewia sp. IOC-1549. RNAcentral's name for it is "eukaryotic LSU rRNA". It matches the Rfam family "Eukaryotic large subunit ribosomal RNA", at positions 62 to 648 of the family's 3401-position model. Lineage: Eukaryota; Fungi; Ascomycota; Dothideomycetes; Pleosporales; Pleosporaceae. The record is from RNAcentral.